CUGGCAUUUUGUGUACGUUCAAUUACCAUCCAGCUCUGGAAAACAGGACUUCUAUGGUGCACACUUAUUUUCUGCAUGUCUAUAAUAUGCAAACUGCAGGCUGAUCUACUACAGUAAUAAAAGCAAACUGAAAAGGUUUUGUACGUUGGCCAAAGAGAGGAAGAUGCUCCUCCAAUGAAGCAGGAGGUGGGGUUUUAUUAGCUGACAAUACAGCACUUGGAACUGUGGAGUAAGGAACUCUGCUUUUGCAAGGUUUUCCAGCUGUACAAUUCAUUUUUAAGGUCAGCUAACUCACUGGGAAGAUUAGACUUGGACUCUGACAAAAGAGGGAAUCUCAGCGUUGGGUCCUCUAGAGACAUUUUCACCAAUGCAUACACCCACAUAUCUGACCACAGCCACGUAUGCCACUGUCACCACAUCACCACAUCACCCUGCCGCUGGACAAAUCGCUUCUCUGCUCUGUGCUUAUUACAAGACAAGGUGUGUCUUUACAGCAGCCAAACAGGAACUGAAAUACAUCCUCGUGUCUGGUGUUGACAUAAACCCAAGCUGCUGUAGAAUUCCAUGGGAAAUUAUGGUGAAAAAAGGAUGAGUUUUCCCUAAUUCUCAUGUCUGUCCCAGCCAUCAGCCCUGUUUCCAGGCCACCAGAGGGCUGUCCAAGCCCACUCUGGCUUCACCACCUCACCUCAUUUCUCUACACGUGCAAAAUCCUCUCAGCACCAAGCACUGCAAUUGGAAAUGCCAUAAAAAAAGCAAAGAGCUCCCCUCUGAAGCCCAGCUGCAUCCUUUAGCACCUCAGGCAUCCCAGCCAUUCGCUAGCACAGGCUCCAUGGUUUCCAUGCCCCCAGCCACCUGUUCUGGGGGAGUUCUGGACAGCAGCUUGGAAAAUUCUGAGAAAGAAGAAAUAAACGUAACCAAAUUCCAUAGAAUGACAGAAUGGCUUGGAUUGGAAGGGACCUCAAAGAUCAUCUAGAUGCAAAUCCCUGAUGCGGACAGGGUUACUGAAAUUAAGAUUUAUUUAUUUUUUUAACAAUUUAAGAAUUCCAAUGCUCACCUGACAUCAAAUUUGUUAAAACAAUUUUUUUUUUUCCCACUUCAGUUGUAAUUGUCACUUUUAUGAACGUUUUCAAACAUUUCAUAUUUUUUAUACCUUAGUUCCAUUCACCCACGCAGCGUUUUGCUUUAGUAUCAUCACACAUGCCCAAAUCCUCGAUGAAACACUCGUUUGGAUUGCAGCAAAACUGAGAGCAAUCCAUAUGCCAUCCUCCUCACACAGUUGUCCCAUUUACUAUUGGACAGGCAAGCCUAAUAAUAAGUUGACAAACAUGACUUUCUUUCUUGUUGGACAAAAUACACAAAUUGUAUCUUUUUUUUUUCUGAGGAGGAGUAAAAUACUAAGGCUUCUGGUCAUUCUUUCUCUUCUUUCCCAGUGCUGUUGACUUUACUGCUCAACUCUGCUACUGCUUAAAAAUAAAAUGACGUGAUUUCUCAAAGUGUGUAAACUCUCUUAUCUGCAAAGCUAUGUCUUCACUGGUACACUCACAACUGCUUUCAUUUCUGUUCUACAGCCCUGCACGCUCCCCAAGAGCAGACACAACAACCACGGUUAUUUACACCCCAGCAUCAGCUACACAGCUUGUUUCCCCCACAGUUAACAGUAGCUAAGUCCUGAUGAAAAACAGACCGUAGGAAUGACAGUGCUAAUAUGGAGAUACAUAAUGUGGGCAUUCAGAGAUGCACACAGAACUGCAGAAAUAAUCAUCUUUAUUUAGCUUCGUCUAUACGAGUCAUCUUCCACUGGCAUUUCACCCUAAUCGCAAGAAGCAUUGGGUGCCAAGGGUUUUACUGUCACUCUCCAAGCCAGUUCCUGCAUAUUCAUGGCUAAAAGCCAGAGCAGAAGGAAGAUUUAGGUGCCAGCAAUGGUUCUUAUGCCAACGAUCAAUACUGCAGAUAUUUAAAGGUUUGAUCUGAAAUCCAGAGAUGCGCCAGAGAUGACACAUGCAGAGAACUAAGAUCAGCAGAAAUCCUC
This 2029-nucleotide long non-coding RNA is filed under the name Gallus gallus (chicken). RNAcentral describes it as "lncRNA (ENSGALG00010003945.1)". Lineage: Eukaryota; Metazoa; Chordata; Aves; Galliformes; Phasianidae. The record is from RNAcentral.